AUGCAGUCCUAUCUCGCUGUGAAAUACUAGCGUAUCCUAGCAUAGCAAUAUACUACUAUUAUUACUGCUGUGCUGGGAUACGACUAUUAUUAGAAAGGUUCAAAAUAAUC
RNAcentral lists this microRNA precursor (110 nucleotides) under Brugia malayi. RNAcentral's name for it is "microRNA bma-mir-9525 precursor". Lineage: Eukaryota; Metazoa; Nematoda; Chromadorea; Rhabditida; Onchocercidae. The record is from miRBase by way of RNAcentral.